GUCAGCUCCCUCCUCUGAUGUCCUCCUCUGAUGUCCAGUUACUCUAAGGAGAGUGUUUUUGAGGGCCUACUCUGUGCAGGUACUAUGCUGGGUACUGGAGUACAAGCACGCGGAGGACUCAGUCCCUGCCCUUGAGAAACCACAGGAUGGUGGAGGAGACAGAUAAUCAGUGCCUUCUGCACAGAGUGCAGAAUUGGAACACUCUGUCUUGGCAAGUCAUGCCUCCUUGGAGAGCGUUCAGAAGGAGCUGCCCUUUCUGGCCCGGAGCAAACCGAACCUCAGCAUCUUCACUGUGCAAAUUGCACAAGCCAGAAAUCAAGGAGUCACUCUUAUAUCUCACCCUCCCAUGAUCAAUCUGCCACCAAAACCCCAUUAGCCUUAUUUAUUUCCUUAAUAUUUCUAAAAAUUUCCACUUCUCUCCACCUCCGUGGCCACCACCGUGCUCCAAGCUCCCAUCCCCUCUGGCUUGACAAAUUCCUCCUGGCGGGUCCUCCUGCCUCGCUCUGCUUCCCCUGCCCUCUCUUCUCCCCUCUGCAGUGGGAAUAAGCUUAUCACAAGGACAUUUGGUGGCACUGCCCUGCGGAUGAAACUCUGCUCUGGCUUUGCACAGCUCUUAGCAUAAAAGGGAACUCCUCCAGCUGGUCCAGGGGCCCUGCUGGUCCAGCCCUGCCCCCCACCUCUCCACGCCGGGUUCUCUGUGCUCCAGCCACCUUGUCUGCCUACAGUCCAGCACACUCUG
This 739-nucleotide long non-coding RNA is filed under the name Equus caballus (horse). Its description in RNAcentral is "lncRNA (ENSECAG00000035915.3)". The record is from RNAcentral. Lineage: Eukaryota; Metazoa; Chordata; Mammalia; Perissodactyla; Equidae.